UUGUAAGAGACAGCAGCAGCCACGGUAAUACGUAGGGUGCAAGCGUUAAUCGGAAUUACUGGGCGUAAAGCGUGCGCAGGCGGUUAUAUAAGACAGAUGUGAAAUCCCCGGGCUCAACCUGGGAACUGCAUUUGUGACUGUAUAGCUAGAGUACGGCAGAGGGGGAUGGAAUUCCGCGUGUAGCAGUGAAAUGCGUAGAUAUGCGGAGGAACACCGAUGGCGAAGGCAAUCCCCUGGGCCUGUACUGACGCUCAUGCACGAAAGCGUGGGGAGCAAACAGGAUUAGAUACCCCUGUAGUCCCUGUCUCUUAUAA
This 314-nucleotide ribosomal RNA is filed under the name uncultured bacterium. RNAcentral describes it as "partial 16S ribosomal RNA". It matches the Rfam family "Bacterial small subunit ribosomal RNA", at positions 499 to 809 of the family's 1533-position model. The record is from RNAcentral.